RNAcentral lists this ribosomal RNA (119 nucleotides) under Lepisosteus oculatus (spotted gar). Lineage: Eukaryota; Metazoa; Chordata; Actinopteri; Semionotiformes; Lepisosteidae. The record is from RNAcentral.
ACCAGCAGCCAUAUCACCCUGCAACUCACAACUGGCAGCCCAACUGGAGCUCAGCAGAGUGAGCCUGAUCAGUACCUGGAUGGGAGACCUCCUGGGGAAAACUAAGGUUGCUACUGGAA